Molecule: ribosomal RNA, 454 nt
Filed under: Stenotrophomonas maltophilia
Lineage: Bacteria; Pseudomonadati; Pseudomonadota; Gammaproteobacteria; Lysobacterales; Lysobacteraceae
Description: bacterial SSU rRNA
Rfam family: Bacterial small subunit ribosomal RNA
Source: RNAcentral
AGUGAACGCUGGCGGUAGGCCUAACACAUGCAAGUCGAACGGCAGCACAGAGGAGCUUGCUCCUUGGGUGGCGAGUGGCGGACGGGUGAGGAAUACAUCGGAAUCUACUCUGUCGUGGGGGAUAACGUAGGGAAACUUACGCUAAUACCGCAUACGACCUACGGGUGAAAGCAGGGGAUCUUCGGACCUUGCGCGAUUGAAUGAGCCGAUGUCGGAUUAGCUAGUUGGCGGGGUAAAGGCCCACCAAGGCGACGAUCCGUAACUGGUCUGAGAGGAUGAUCAGCCACACUGGAACUGAGACACGGUCCAGACUCCUACGGGAGGCAGCAGUGGGGAAUAUUGGACAAUGGGCGCAAGCCUGAUCCAGCCAUACCGCGUGGGUGAAGAAGGCCUUCGGGUUGUAAAGCCCUUUUGUUGGGAAAGAAAUCCAGCUGGCUAAUACCCGGUUGGGAUG